UUUUCUCUACUGAUUAAGAGGUUGUUAAAACCUAUUUUAUUUAGUACAGGUGCUGCUAUGAGCUGAGGAAUGGCCAACUGCUUCUCAUGACUGUGAAAGAGCUACAUUGUACCAAUUCUGUGGUAUGACUCCAAAGCAUGGUUGAAUUGAAUUACCUGAACUUGUGUAAAUCCUAUAGUCAUUAGGCAUGGAAGCUCUAAGAUGACAGAGGAAAGCAACAACUUUCAAGCUGAAAAAUGAAGUUAUCUCCUGUAAUGACUUGGGUUCAGGGAGUACUGAGCUUCCACUUCAAGCAGCCAGCUCUGGAAACAACUGGGAGACCAUUUCUUCAGAGAAAGAAGCACUCUUUUUAUAAACUAUUUCCCAUAUUUUUCAAAAACUCAUUUUCUCUUGUUAGUUUGCAUGUGGGAGGACAUCGCAAAUAUUGAUUCCAGCUGGGCUACUUCUACACCAGAUUCUGAGAUGCAUUGCAAAACUCAGUAGAUUGCAGAUCUGCCUAGUAAGUUCUUAUUUCAGUCAGCAAACAUUUAGUACACAGGCAGCAGAAUUUGAACUUCUCUAUAUUGAUUUUCUGUUUGUGAGCCACAUUCCUGAAAGUACAUAUUUUACCCAUGGAAAAUGUUAAUGUUCUUAUCAAUAAAGAGGGCUGUUGGUCAUUAUCUUCUUAUUUC
This 671-nucleotide long non-coding RNA is filed under the name Coturnix japonica (Japanese quail). RNAcentral's name for it is "lncRNA (ENSCJPG00005016193.1)". Lineage: Eukaryota; Metazoa; Chordata; Aves; Galliformes; Phasianidae. The record is from RNAcentral.